GAUGAACGCUAGCGGCAGGCUUAACACAUGCAAGUCGAGGGGCAGCAUAAAUAGUAGCAAUACUAUUGGUGGCGAGUGGCGAACGGGUGAGUAAUAUAUCGGAACGUGCCCAGUAGUGGGGGAUAACUGCUCGAAAGAGCAGCUAAUACCGCAUACGACCUGAGGGUGAAAGGGGGGGAUCGCAAGACCUCUCGCUAUUGGAGCGGCCGAUAUCAGAUUAGCUAGUUGGUGGGGUAAAGGCCUACCAAGGCAACGAUCUGUAGUUGGUCUGAGAGGACGACCAGCCACACUGGGACUGAGACACGGCCCAGGCUCCUACGGGAGGCAGCAGUGGGGAAUUUUGGACAAUGGGCGCAAGCCUGAUCCAGCAAUGCCGCGUGCAGGAAGAAGGCCUUCGGGUUGUAAACUGCUUUUGUCAGGGAAGAAAUCCUCUAGGUUAAUACCCUUGGGGGGAUGACGGUACCUGAAGAAUAAGCACCGGCUAACUACGUGCCAGCCGCCGCCGUAA
Molecule: ribosomal RNA, 508 nt
Filed under: uncultured bacterium
Lineage: Bacteria
Description: partial 16S ribosomal RNA
Rfam family: Bacterial small subunit ribosomal RNA
Source: RNAcentral